Molecule: small RNA, 680 nt
Filed under: Pongo abelii (Sumatran orangutan)
Lineage: Eukaryota; Metazoa; Chordata; Mammalia; Primates; Hominidae
Description: processed transcript
Source: RNAcentral
GGAGCGCGUGAGGCUCCGGCGCCCAAGCCCGGCGCAGCCAGCUGGGGCGCACAGGGGCGCGCGAGCGCGGGGAUGGAGGACGGCGUGGCCGGGCCCCGGCUCGGGGCGGCGGCGGAGGCGGCGGAGGCGGCCGAGGCGCGAGAGCGGCCCGGGGUGACGCUGCGGCCCUUCGCGCCCCUCUCGGGGGCGGCCGAGGCGGACGAGGGCGGCGGCGACUGGAGCUUCAUUGACUGCGAAAUGGAGGAGGUGGACCUGCAGGACCUGCCCAGCGCCACCAUCGCCUGCCACCUGGACCCGCGCGUGUUCGUGGACGGCCUGUGCCGGUUAAAGAAGUGCUUUGGUGGCCACCUACGUAAUUGGAUUCAACGUGGAGCUCUACUUGAAGUUGCAGUCAUCUGAAUUCAUUCUUGAACAUAUAAGCCACAGAACAAACAGGGCUCUUCUUACAGAAAGAAUCCUGCGCUGUGAAUCAGUCACAGAUUGUAUUAAACUUCCCAACACUACUUAAUUUUCAGGCCAAAUUUGAGUCCCUCUUUAGGACGUAUGACAAGGACAUCACCUUUCAGUAUUUUAAGAGCUUCAAACGAGUCAGAAUAAACUUCAGCAACCCCUUCUCCGCAGCAGAUGCCAGGCUCCAGCUGCAUAAGACUGAGUUUCUGGGAAAGGAAAUGAAGUUAUAU